Gorilla gorilla gorilla (western lowland gorilla) is the source of this 4164-nucleotide RNA transcript. It is a transcript of the gene named neurobeachin-like, with no coding region annotated. The record is from RefSeq and is a predicted model, not a curated record. The transcript is spliced from 7 exons. Lineage: Eukaryota; Metazoa; Chordata; Mammalia; Primates; Hominidae.
GCCCCUAGUGGGCCCUGAUGAAGGAAAGAGUUGAGAUGGGGGCAGCGCUGGACCCCAGGGCCCCUGUCUGCCUCCUGGAGAGCCCGGUGACCCAGGCAGCCCUGGUGAGGCUGUGGGUGUCUGGGCCAUAGCGAGGCCCGCGAGCUCCCACAGGACAGAUGCGGACAGUGAGGCCGGGGAGGCCCUGCUGCCCUCCGGACUGUCCCUCCAGCCCCCAGCUUUCUGUGGUUCUCUGGGCCCCCUCUGCAGAGGGGCAGGGGAGCCCACCCUGGAUCCUGAGACGCCAAGCUUGAGGGACCCCCAGAGCUCUAGCGAGGCUGCUUCCUUUGCGGAUGGUGAAGCUGAGGUCCAGAGGAGGGCAGGGGCAGGUCCUGGGCGCUCCCUAGGCAAAGGGAGCCGAUCUCCGGGAGGCGGUCACAGGGAGCGCUCCUGCGACUUCUAGGGCCCGAAAGCUGGGGAGGAUGAGAGACCAGGGGCCUUUCGUCGUCCCCUGGGGCUGGGCAGAGGCUCAGCCUGUGCCGCAACCCUAAGCUGCUUCUGGCAAGUCCGAGCCGCGGUCCCUUUAAGAGGGGGUGGAGCUUCAACCUGGCACUAGGGAUGCUGCCUGCGUGCGUGUCCCUACGGAGCUGAGACUGUACUUCCUGCGACGCCCCUGCAGCAGCAGCAGCAAGCAGCGUGGUCAGAGCGAGCUUCAGAGAAACGGUGGUGGGUUCCAUGUGAUGGUGGAGUAGGAGACAGGUCUCCGCGGUUCAUCUGCGUUGCUCUAAAUGACACUGUUUCAUUAUUUUGAUGGCUGAAGAAUAUUUCCUAGUGUAUGUAUAUGAGAGUUUCUUGAUCUCUUUAUCUGUGGAUGAACAGCUACUUUGAAAUAUAUGAUAUAUUUGUGUUAAGGCUAGUCACCCUGCUGUGGAAUAGAAGGCCAGAAUUGAUCACUAUCAUCUGAGAGUAACUUUGCACCCAUCACUGAUUCCUUCCGAGACUGCCUCCACUUCCCCAGCAGCCUCUGGUUUCUUCAUGUGGCUGCAGAUGGCAGGAUUUCCCAAAGGCUUAUGGCUGCAACAUAUUCCGUGGUGUAUCUGUACAGCAGUUUCCUCAUUCCUGCAGCUGUGUUUGAACAGCAGACCAGCAUCCCUCCUCCUCUGCCUUGCUGGUGUUCAUCCUUGUGGACUGUGUCAUAAUUGUCAUUCAUCAGAAUGUGUGAAAUACUAUCUCAUGGGCCUUUUGCUUUGCAUUUCUCUGAUGAUUCCUGAGGUCAUUUACCAUGCGGUCCUCCAGGUUCAACAGUAUGGCUCCAAAUGAUGAGAUUUCAUUCUGAUUUUCUGGCUGAAGACUAUUCUGUUUGUGUAUGUCCACCACAGUUACUUUAUCCCUUCAUCUGUGGAUGGGCAGGAAACUCCAAACUGUCCAAGGGAUAGUUCUGUUGUGAUUACUUCAUUGAGAAAUUUAACUUAUGAGCAGUUGAAAGGAAUGCAAGUUGCUGGAAAAUCAGAAUGAAGAGUGCAAAAUGACCAAGCUACAAUGUAUUGUCAUUAUUCACUCUGAUGUGAAAAAGGCAGUGAAUUUAAUAGAAAAUAACUUUGCAGAAUAAAAUCUCAGGUGUGUUUUUGUAGUGCCACAGUCUUGGAUGAUGGGCUUCUAGAUGUUGAGUCCUAGAAGCUCUCAACAUCUCUUCUUAAUUGGAGAAAGUGUUAAGCCCCAAAGUAGCUGGAGCAGUACAUCUUCAAUUUUUGACAAGAAACAGGAACUUGAUUACUUUGAGUGUUAUUCAUUAGUUUCUGCUUUCAUUGAGAAUGCAACAAAAGCCAACGAGCCUGCUGCUAACUCCUUGCUGGACAUCUUCUGCCACUAUCAUAGGAACUGUGAUCUCACUGGACAAUUAACUAGGGAGCCUUUCAUCUUGAAUGACUGCUGCACAAAUGAUCUUCAAAGCAUUUUAGCCACCAGAGGAAUUCUCUUCAAAUACCCAAAAUCCAUCAGUAUCUUGAAUCAUGCUGGAUUUUGAAGAAUUCUUAACAAGCCAUGUAAAGGGGGCUCUCUGGCCUUGAAAUAGUGAUGUUUUUUAUACAGAAAGGAGAAUGCUGAAUGGUCAGACUACCAUGCGCUGUUAAAUUUGAUUUCAAGAAAUUACAGGAAAACUUUCCAAAGUUCCGUCUCACAGAAUUUAUUUUUACAAAGAAUUCCAAGAUAAGUUUAGUUUUAUGGAAGAUUUUUAUGUGGUUUUUACUCACUCUUCAUCUCAGACAUCAACUGAUGAUUACAUCACUUAUUUAGCUAGUAAAUUUAUUGAUAUAAAACUCAGAGACAUUCCAAUAUCCACAUUGCUUACAUCAUCAGGCAUAGAUUCAAUGUCAGCUAUGACAAUUGAAAAUAAGCUGUUUUGUGAUUUAAAGGUUUAAAUUUCUCUAACCAAACAGCUUGAUCCAGAUGCAGCACUGCAAAUGUUAAUAUUUGUUCUGGAAGAACAAUCAAAUAAGACUUAAGAGGAAAAGGAAUGGCCACAAUCCACCUGAAAUUUUUUUUAAAAAGUGUGCAGCCUACUAAAUCAGAAUGAAAAUAGAAGUACAAGAUUAUAAACAAAAUGCAAUCAAACUUUUCUUAAGCUUACCUAAAGUUAUUUUAUCUGAAAAUUUCAAGCAACUUUGUUCAACAUUAAAUUGACAAUCUAAACUAACAAGUCUUUUGAAUUUACGUAUGGUAGUAAACAUUCUCUCUAUUAAUUUUAUUACCUAAGGCUAAACCUAUAAUUUUUAAGCAAAAUUAGAAAAAUAGUCUUCACUUAUCAAAAAAAUAAAGUUUGUUACAUUUAGUAUUUUCCCAAUAAAAUUGGUCAUUCUUGGUUUUUUAUUUGGAGAAUCUGUGCAAAAUUUCACUGAAAAUAAAUUAGAACUAGAAAUUAUUUCUAAAUAUAAAAAAAAUGAAGAAUGGUUUCACAAAGAAAAAAGAAAACUUGCUUAAUUAGCAGAGUAUCAUCUCUGUGAUUUUUGUGAUUAUUUGAUCAGUGUCCUGAGAUGGAUACAAUGGCAAGUAAUGACAAAAUUAAAAUAAGCAUGCAGAUUUUUUUAAAUUAAGUGCCAAAAAAUAAUUGGUCAUGCAAAGCCCUUAAAAAUAUUGUGGCCUAAUUCUAAAGUUUUUUGCUACUAUGCUACAUCACACGCAACAUCAGUUAAGUGCUCAUUCUGUGACAGGUAGUACAUUACAUUUUAGCAAACUACACAAGACCCCUAUGUGAUAAUAUGCUUCAGGGUUGUAAGGUUGGGUGUAUUCACUAGUCUUGAAUUUUCUGGGAGUAUACAAACCCAAUAUUAGUCUAGAUGCCCACAAAUGUAUUUAGACGUCACAGUAGAAUGGAGAGUAAUCUUGACCACAGGAAGCUGUGUUGUGGCAUUUAUUUUGAAAUUAUUUUUUCUUGAUUUUUUUGCCUUUUAAUUGUUUUGUGAGUUUUAUAAUGUACAGAAUAUUUUUAAAUUAUUAUAUAUAUAAACUAAUUAGUCUUCAUUUAAACUUAUGCCUCUGGGGUCUUACUUGGGUUUCUCCUAACAAUAUUAUACACAUAUUUGCAGUAAUUUCUCUCAUACUGCUUUUAACUCAUUUAAUUUUUUAACUUUUUAAGAAUAACAAAAGUGAUAUUAAUUGUAAAAAUGCUGAAGUGACAUAUGAAUUUAUGAAGUGCAUAUGUAUUUUUUAUUUUACCAAUGAGAUGGGAGAAAUGCUGUCUUAUAUUUUAACAUACAUUUUGGCCAUUACACAGAUGAAGCAACUUUUCAUUUGUUAAUACAUAAUGCAUACUUUUUCUUCUGUGCAAUUCCUCUUUGUAUUCUUUGCUCAUUUUCCCACUGGGAUUUGCAAGUUCUUUAUUAUUUGAUAAUCUCUGUACAUUCUGAAUAUCAAUUUUUUGUUACAUAUACCAUGUAAAUAUUUUCUUCUAAUUUGUUAUUUGUCUUUUAAUGGUAUUUAUCAAUUGUUUGCUAAAAAUGAGUUUGUUUAGUUAGUAAAAUUUGUCUAUCUUUAACUUCAUGAUAUUUGUAUAUCAUGUCAUGAGGAAAAGGCAUGAAUAUUUUAAAAACUUCCUUGUAGCGUUAAUUUUAUUUUUUAUUUCAUUAAGUUAUUUGAAAUUUAUUGUUUAUUUCUUCAAAUUCCAAAUAAUAACCAACUUUCUCAAAGCAA